GUGAAUCAUCAAAUCUUUGAACGCAAAUUGCACUCUCUGGUAUUCCGGGGAGUAUGCCUGUUUGAGGGUCGUUAGAAGAAAAAUCGAAGAAUCGCUAUUUUUUUUGAGGGUGAUGGGGUCGGAAUUGAGAGGUUUGUCAAAUGUUAAUUCAUGUCAAAGUGGCUUAAAAUUCAUCAAUCCGGUAGGAUUAAAGUGUAUUUAAGAUCAAUUUUGAUUAAGAACGCGCGAUGACGUACCAUCUCAUGUAGUACGUUUGAUCUGGGUCAUCAGGUGCGUUCGU
This 280-nucleotide unclassified non-coding RNA is filed under the name Funneliformis mosseae. RNAcentral describes it as "partial contains 5.8S ribosomal RNA and internal transcribed spacer 2". The stretch from base 1 to 71 matches the Rfam family "5.8S ribosomal RNA", at positions 84 to 154 of the family's 154-position model. The record is from RNAcentral. Lineage: Eukaryota; Fungi; Glomeromycota; Glomeromycetes; Glomerales; Glomeraceae.